CCAAGGGGCCUAAAUAUCCUAAAGUCACCAGGUCCCAUCUCAUCUUGGAGGAUAAGCAGGAUUGGCUUUGGUUAGUACUUAAAUGGGAGACCACCAGGGAAUACCAGGUACUGUAUGCU
This 119-nucleotide ribosomal RNA is filed under the name Anolis carolinensis (green anole). The record is from RNAcentral. Lineage: Eukaryota; Metazoa; Chordata; Lepidosauria; Squamata; Anolidae.